CCCAGCCCCGGUGCACAGUGCGUAAGGAAAGUCCAGACAAUGCGCUAGGGAAGCACACGCCUGCCAGCCUGCUGCGCUCAUUAUCCCCCCGCCUGGAAUUUCCAGGUCAAAGUCUAUGGUUCCCACUGCCCUGAUCCACUGCCCUUUCCAGAUUCUCCUUGUGAUGCCCUUCCUGCCAAGGCUGAGUGACCGACUCAGUACUUUCCUGCCAGCCCGGCAGAGUCACCCAGCACAUUACCUCUAAGGCGGGAUCCUGGCACAAACCCCGGCGGACCUGGAGAGCGGGAGAGACGCUGGGGACUGGACUUUCCCUUUGAGAACCUGAACUUUGGUCGGAUAAACCUAACUGCCCCCUCCCCCCAGCAGGUGAUUCUAGUUACUGGACCCGGCGCACACACACCACAAGCAUUCCUGGAAAACGUCCACACAGCAGAAAUCGUGAAGAUUAAACCAAGCACGUAUGUGUUCUCUUCCCACGCCUAGAGAGGACACACCUGAGCAAGAAGAGCAAGCUCUGCAUCUGGUCACAGGCACGUGGGAACCCUGUCAGACUCAGAUCUUUCUAAAGGAAGAUAUAGAGAUGCACACAGUGCCUCCUAAUGUACGGGAUCCCAGCACUCAGAAGACAGAGGACCAUCACCGCAAGACUGGGGCCAACAUUGGCUGCAGAGUGAGUUCAAGGCCUGUCUCAGAAAACAAACUACAAAAGAAAUAAACCAGCAAUCAAACAAAAACCAGCCAGAUGGGUCUCAUAAAUAUUAAUUAAUUAAUUAAUUAAUUAAUGUAAAGAAGUACUUGAAAAUUGGGCAGGAAUGUCAGGCAUGAGCGGGCACUGGGCAGUGGAGUGACAUCGUGCCCUGCUGCAGCAGCUGGAAGGCAGGGGUGAGGCGAGCCUCUUUGAGCAGAUAGAAUUAACUACAAAGGCCACUCCACUCUCAACCAGCACGUGGGGUGCUGAGCAGAGCACAAACCACACAAUGUGCUGCUGCAGAGAGGAUUUCCGGUCACCCAAUGUGCUCUGUGCUUCCACGCCACCCGCCCGGGGCCUUGGGAGGACCAAGUUCCAUCCGAAGUCCAGAGAGAGCCCAUGGAGGCUGGCACAAAAAGGCUGUCUAGGAGUGGGGCAGUCACCCUCAGAGCCUUGAGGAAAGGCAGAGGGAGAACGUGGUCAGGAAGCGUUAGCCAGGCCUGGGGAUCUCUGGUUAGAACUCACAAGGAGGAAUGUAUCUCUUUUUUUCUUACAUGCUGUGGGGAUCAGAGCAUCAGUCCACCUUCUGCAGGGCUAGGAUCUCGGAAAAACUGAGAAAGCUUGGAAGGCAUUUCUCUGUCCCCCACCCUACUGCUGUUUGCUGGCUCUCUUUGGUUAUUCCUAGUUAUCCAUAAGCUCCCGAGCUCCCUCCCACCAAAACAGCCAGGGCCACACUCUGCAGGUGAAGAAGCAGGUAGAGAGUUUCCAGCAGGAAAGAUCCCCGGCAGUUAAACAGCAUGCAUGUGGAGGGGGGAGGGGAACUGGACAUAUGCACACACCUAUUCAGCACCCAAAGUUAGGUGGUACAUGCCAUGGCGAUGACAGCACUGAGCUUGGAAGCACGGUCUCCAGCUCACUGCAGAUAACACACAACCCUGCCAACUUCAUGGAGUAACAGCAAAUUUGAGGACCAUCAUGAGAUGUUCUAAAGUAAUUACACUAUAAAAAUUAUGCAUAGAGAUCCCGAACAUUUAACCAGAAGGAAAAAAAAUGCCUUCUGCACUUCCUCUGGAAUGCAAGGCCUUAGCCCUUGCCAACACGGCAAAGCAUACACUUGCUGGAUAGUCCAGGUUUGAAAGAGGCUGGAACCACAUCCCCCACCCCCCAUCAGGACUAGGAGCUGCUGUGACAGCUGAGUACACUGUGGAAGGUGACACCAUUCUGGCUCUCCAGCAAGCCAAUGCAGAAGGAAGAGCCAUAGAAAAUGUCAUCUGAGCAUGACCCCUGACCAUCCUGCAGUAUGCAUUAAGAAGAUCAUAGCCACAGCUUCUUUCCUAUUAUUGUUUGCAUAAGAAUGAAGCAAAUUUCCUCUUUAAGGGUUCCAAUCCUAGCAGGAGGAAGAAGAAAUGCAAUAACCCAUUCAACUUGUCAGGUGGGAAAAGCAACAGGAAAAAGCAUCAGCUACCAUACCCCAGCCUCCUUUUCAGUAGAAGGAGACAGACCUCUUAGAAGAAAGGCUGGUGUCAGGGUUGGUGGAGGACAAGAAAGAUAUGUAGCUUCCUCCAGGACAAGAAAGAAAGGCAUACAUAAAUGGCCUAUAAUUUGUGCAACAAAAUAUGACACAUAAAUUCAUUUUUAAUAAUUGCAUAAUAAAAUGAAUAUGCAAAUAAAAGAGGCUAGUUCUUCCUUUUAUGAGAAGUCAAAUGCCAAGUGACAACUAAGGAGAGAAGGGCCGCAUCAGGUGAUGCUUGCUUCAGCAGGGGUCCUCAGUGAAGAUUUCACCAGUAACAGUGUUUCUCCUGUGAAGAAAACAGGUCUGCUUGUGUAGCCAACAAAGUAUCUGUUAGUGACCAAAGAAAGGAAGAUUAACAUUAACCAGAGAUUAUGUUACUCACACCAGGAACCCCCAAAGGCACCCCGCCUGAGUGAAUGACAUUUUAUAAUUUAUUGAGUCACUCAUCAAAACCAUCAAGCUCACAAAAGACCCAAAAAGGCAGAAGGCCUGUACCAGAUUUGAGGGGACUACCCAGACAGGUGGCAACUAAAUGUGAGAUCGUUCACAGACCUCAGAUGGGAAAAUGACAUCAUUGUGAGCGGCAAUGACAUUUAGCAGUAUUGGGGUUACAGCAUUUUAUAGACGUUGCCUUCCUAGUUGUGAUCACUGCUCUGUGAUUUAUGGGAAUAUUACCAGUGGGGGAAUUUGGAUGGAUAACCAUGACUACUCUGAAACUUUCUUGUAAGUCGGAAAUUAUUUCAUAUUUUAAAGCUUUAGAAAUUGCUUUUUUAAAAAAUCCUGAAAGGAGUUGCAUUAGGAAAAAGACUUGAGCUUUAAGAUGUCAUCUGAGUAAUGAAAACAGACAAGAGAAUUGUGUUUCCUUCUCUCUCCCAGAGAGCAAGACCAAGGAUAGGAAGAGGAUGUGAAGUUGGCCAGGCCCCACCCUAAGUUCUCAGGUCAGAAUGACCGAUUGUUUGACAUGACCCCAUGUUCAUCAGCCCUGCACAGAUGUAGGUCUUCUCUCUAGUGACGGUCACAGGAAGCCAGAGCUGGGCCCGGGUUCCAGAAACUCAUCCCACAGGGGAACACAAUCAUCACACACACACAAUGUUGUCACUGUGGCUUGAAACACUAGAGAGAGAUGACAUUUCUCUCCAUUUCUCAACAGGCUGAAGCAACUAUGAGUUCGAAGACAUAGGAGCCAUAAGUUUGGGACCUGGCCAGCUCAAUUUUUUUACAUAAAAAGUUAUCUAUUAUAAUGAUAUUAAUUACAUAUGUGCUUCCCUCACCCCACUCCCCAAUAAACACAAAGGACUUCAGAGAA
Molecule: long non-coding RNA, 3507 nt
Organism: Mus musculus (house mouse)
Lineage: Eukaryota; Metazoa; Chordata; Mammalia; Rodentia; Muridae
Product: predicted gene, 32709
Exons: 3
Source: RefSeq, a predicted model, not a curated record